AUGGGCUGGAUUUCCCUGAACGCAAUGUUCGGAGUACUGCUGGCUCCGGGGCUGUACUACUGCGGCCUGCGUGCCACCGGCGCCGCCUACGCCGUCAACUUCCUCAACCUCAUCCCCGUCGCCACCUUCAUCAUCGCUGCCGCGCUCCGGGUCGAGCAGCUCUCCCUCGCCGCCUGGCCCAGUGGGAUGAAGCUCCUCGGAGCGGUGGUGGGCGUCGCCGGCACCAUGGUCGUCAGCCUCUGCAAGGGCACCCAUCUCCGGCUGCCGCACCUCGGGAUGUCCUUCCACGCCAACCCCCACCUCGCCACGCCCCACGGCGACGGCGACAUGGCCGUCGGCACGCUGUUCCUGUGCGGGAGCUGCGUCAGCUACGGGCUCUGGUUCGUCGUGCAGGCUAAGGUCGCCAAGGUGUUCCCGUACCGGUACUCGGCCACGGCGCUCACGUGCCUCGUGGGCUGCCUGCAGUCCACCCUGUUCGUCCCCGUGGCGAUCAUCCUCGCCCCCGCCGGCGACUUAUAUGGAUGGGCGCCCAUGUGGACGCUGCGCUGGGAUCUGCAGCUGGCCACGGUGGUCUACUCCGGGGUGUUCAACACGGGCGUCACGUUCGCACUAGUAGAAAACCACCCAUUAGUCCCGGUUCGUAAGGGCCUGGGUCGUUACUAA
This 663-nucleotide ribosomal RNA is filed under the name Triticum aestivum (bread wheat). RNAcentral describes it as "partial small subunit ribosomal RNA". Lineage: Eukaryota; Viridiplantae; Streptophyta; Magnoliopsida; Poales; Poaceae. The record is from RNAcentral.